CCUACGGGAGGCAGCAGUGGGGAAUAUUGGACAAUGGGCGAAAGCCUGAUCCAGCAAUGCCGCGUGAGUGAUGAAGGCCUUAGGGUUGUAAAGCUCUUUUACCCGGGAUGAUAAUGACAGUACCGGGAGAAUAAGCUCCGGCUAACUCCGUGCCAGCAGCCGCGGUAAUACGGAGGGAGCUAGCGUUAUUCGGAAUUACUGGGCGUAAAGCGCACGUAGGCGGCUUUGUAAGUAAGAGGUGAAAGCCUGGUGCUCAACACCAGAACUGCCUUUUAGACUGCAUCGCUUGAAUCCAGGAGAGGUGAGUGGAAUUCCGAGUGUAGAGGUGAAAUUCGUAGAUAUUCGGAAGAACACCAGUGGCGAAGGCGGCUCACUGGACUGGUAUUGACGCUGAGGUGCGAAAGCGUGGGGAGCAAACAGGAUUAGAUACCCGUGGUACGUCCGACGCCGUAAACGAUGAUAACUAGCUGUCGGGUUCUAGAACUUCGGUGGCGCAGCUAACGCAUUAAGUUAUCCGCCUGGGGAGUACGGCCGCAAGGUUAAACUACAAAUGAAUUGACGG
RNAcentral lists this ribosomal RNA (562 nucleotides) under uncultured bacterium. RNAcentral describes it as "bacterial SSU rRNA". It matches the Rfam family "Bacterial small subunit ribosomal RNA", at positions 338 to 916 of the family's 1533-position model. The record is from RNAcentral.